CCUACGGGUGGCAGCAGUGGGGAAUAUUGGACAAUGGGCGAAAGCCUGAUCCAGCCAUGUCGCGUGUGUGAAGAAGGCCUUCGGGUUGUAAAGCACUUUCAGUGGGGAAGAAAGCCUUGGGGCUAAUACCCUCGAGGAAGGACAUCACCCACAGAAGAAGCACCGGCUAACUCCGUGCCAGCAGCCGCGGUAAUACGGAGGGUGCGAGCGUUAAUCGGAAUUACUGGGCGUAAAGCGCGCGUAGGCGGUCUGAUAAGCCGGUUGUGAAAGCCCCGGGCUCAACCUGGGAACGGCAUCCGGAACUGUCAGGCUAGAGUGCAGGAGAGGAAGGUAGAAUUCCCGGUGUAGCGGUGAAAUGCGUAGAGAUCGGGAGGAAUACCAGUGGCGAAGGCGGCCUUCUGGACUGACACUGACGCUGAGGUGCGAAAGCGUGGGUAGCAAACAGGAUUAGAUACCCCGGUAGUC
Molecule: ribosomal RNA, 465 nt
Filed under: Vreelandella stevensii
Lineage: Bacteria; Pseudomonadati; Pseudomonadota; Gammaproteobacteria; Oceanospirillales; Halomonadaceae
Description: partial 16S ribosomal RNA
Rfam family: Bacterial small subunit ribosomal RNA
Source: RNAcentral